GGUUAAGUGACUAAGCGUACACGGUGGAUGCCUGGGCAGUCAGAGGCGAUGAAGGACGUACUAACUUGCGAUAAGCGCAGAUAAGGCAGUAAGAGCCGUUUGAGUCUGCGAUUUCCGAAUGGGGAAACCCAACUGCAUAAGCAGUUACUGUUAACUGAAUACAUAGGUUAACAGAGCAAACCGGGGGAACUGAAACAUCUAAGUACCCCGAGGAGAAGAAAUCAACCGAGAUUCCGGUAGUAGCGGCGAGCGAACCUGGAUUAGCCCUUAAGCGCUCGGUGAAGUAGGUGAACAAGCUGGAAAGCUUGGCGAUACAGGGUGAUAGCCCCGUAACCGACGCUUCAUCGAGCGUGAAAUCGAGUAGGGCGGGACACGUGAUAUCCUGUCUGAAUAUGGGGGGACCAUCCUCCAAGGCUAAAUACUCCUGACUGACCGAUAGUGAACCAGUACCGUGAGGGAAAGGCGAAAAGAACCCCUGUGAGGGGAGUGAAAUAGAACCUGAAACCGUGUACGUACAAGCAGUAGGAGCACCUUCGUGGUGUGACUGCGUACCUUUUGUAUAAUGGGUCAGCGACUUAUAUUCAGUGGCAAGGUUAACCGUAUAGGGGAGCCGUAGCGAAAGCGAGUCUUAACUGGGCGUUCAGUCUCUGGAUAUAGACCCGAAACCGGGUGAUCUAGCCAUGGGCAGGUUGAAGGUUGAGUAACAUCAACUGGAGGACCGAACCGACUAAUGUUGAAAAAUUAGCGGAUGACUUGUGGCUAGGGGUGAAAGGCCAAUCAAACUCGGAGAUAGCUGGUUCUCCCCGAAAGCUAUUUAGGUAGCGCCUCGGACGAAUACUACUGGGGGUAGAGCACUGUUAAGGCUAGGGGGUCAUCCCGACUUACCAACCCUUUGCAAACUCCGAAUACCAGUAAGUACUAUCCGGGAGACACACGGCGGGUGCUAACGUCCGUCGUGGAGAGGGAAACAACCCAGACCGCCAGCUAAGGUCCCAAAGUAUUGCUAAGUGGGAAACGAUGUGGGAAGGCUCAGACAGCUAGGAUGUUGGCUUAGAAGCAGCCAUCAUUUAAAGAAAGCGUAAUAGCUCACUAGUCGAGUCGGCCUGCGCGGAAGAUGUAACGGGGCUAAGCA
Molecule: ribosomal RNA, 1132 nt
Filed under: Vibrio cholerae
Lineage: Bacteria; Pseudomonadati; Pseudomonadota; Gammaproteobacteria; Vibrionales; Vibrionaceae
Description: partial 23S ribosomal RNA
Rfam family: Bacterial large subunit ribosomal RNA
Source: RNAcentral